RNAcentral lists this ribosomal RNA (443 nucleotides) under uncultured bacterium. Its description in RNAcentral is "partial 16S ribosomal RNA". It matches the Rfam family "Bacterial small subunit ribosomal RNA", at positions 338 to 795 of the family's 1533-position model. The record is from RNAcentral.
CCUACGGGGUGCAGCAGUGGGGAAUAUUGGGCAAUGGGCGCAAGCCUGACCCAGCAACGCCGCGUGAAGGAAGAAGGCUUUCGGGUUGUAAACUUCUUUUCUCAGGGACGAAGCAAGUGACGGUACCUGAGGAAUAAGCCACGGCUAACUACGUGCCAGCAGCCGCGGUAAUACGUAGGUGGCAAGCGUUAUCCGGAUUUACUGGGUGUAAAGGGCGUGUAGGCGGGACUGCAAUGCAGAUGUGAAAACCAUGGGCUCAACCUAUGGCCUGCAUUUGAUACUGUAGUUCUUGAGUACUGGAGAGGCAGACGGAAUUCCUAGUGUAGCGGUGAAAUGCGUAGAGAUUAGGAGGAACACCAGUGGCGAAGGCGGUCUGCUGGACAGCAACUGACGCUGAGGCGCGAAAGCGUGGGGAGCAAACAGGAUUAGAUACCCGGGUAGUC